Molecule: long non-coding RNA, 898 nt
Filed under: Trifolium pratense (red clover)
Lineage: Eukaryota; Viridiplantae; Streptophyta; Magnoliopsida; Fabales; Fabaceae
Description: long non-coding RNA (TPRA_LNC013646)
Source: RNAcentral
GGUCACGAGGGGGCAGCUGGGGGAUCAUCUACAUUAGACUUAAGAACAACUCUACAAGCGAGUUGGACACCAGACAUUAACCCAAAACUUUAAGGUGUUAGGUUUAUUGAUCCUCUCACUUAUAAAAUGUUCAACCUUCACUUUUCUAAACAAUGUGAGACUUAACUCACACUUGCCACCACAUUAUCUUCCCGGGAGAUAAACUAAUCACUAUGCUGAGAUCAUUCAAUAAAAAAAAAAAGAAUAAAAACAAAGGCNNNNNNNNNNNNNNNNNNNNNNNNNNNNNNNNNNNNNNNCACUAUGCUGAGAUCAUUCAAUAAAAAUAAAAAUAAAAGAAUAAAAACAAAGGCAACUUACAAUGGUUCGAUGUACGACUAGACACUAAAUAUAUAGUUGGAAUAUCUUAUCCCUGAAUCCUGAACAACUUUAGGACCCUUGUCUCUUCUUUAGCACAUGAUCGAGUAAAGCAAUACAAGCCAAUUGAGCAAGUGGGCAUGACCGUUUUACUCUUAACCGUGGCUAGCUCAAUCAUACUAAAGAAAGGAAAGAAUUCAAUAUCAUACAUUUGGACAUACAAACAAGAAAGCAAAAAAGAUGAAAAAGCUAUACCUCAUCCACGUAUAGCAAUUUGAUGCCAUUAUUGGUACCACAAUCAUACGCAAUAUCUUUGUAAUCAAGAAGCAUGCAUUAUUAGUAUACUGAGAUUCUAUCCUGGAAAAUUUUGGAACAUAGCUUUUUUCACUACUUUUUUUCUACCAAAGGUUCCUUGAGUGGUAAUCUUAUUUGAUGUACGUCGGUAAGGUUGGUCUUGGACAGGUGCAUCAAGUUUUUCAAAGGUUCAUUCAAAUUUUUGGUACCUCAAAUUUUCUGUUAAUUGAUAGUAUAUAUAGUCUAAUUU